Molecule: long non-coding RNA, 1161 nt
Filed under: Oreochromis niloticus (Nile tilapia)
Lineage: Eukaryota; Metazoa; Chordata; Actinopteri; Cichliformes; Cichlidae
Description: lncRNA (ENSONIG00000039373.1)
Source: RNAcentral
AUGGCCCUCUGCUCGGAUGAGGCUUUUCAGGAACUAUUACAAAGAAUCCACGACAUGGAAAUGAAAAUACGACGCCUUGAGGAGAACGCCAAAAGUAAUAAAAAUCUGCCGGUGGCUUACGGCAAGCAACCACCGGGCGGAUCAAUACCAUCAGCACAGAGUGGGACCCCUCCGAGUGGAGGGCGUUUGUCGGGAGGGACUCCCCAUUCAUCAGACCUCUGGCCCCCACUUAGACGGGAGACUCCAAAGAAGACAAAGGAACAUCGAAAGACACUCCAACAAGAAACAACUUCGAUUAUUCCCCUAAAAAUUAGAUUUGCGCCUCUUAGCUCAUCACCGUCCAGCCUGCAAAGACUGUCAGCUGCAGAGCGAGGUCACCGAAAUGUAAAUAAAGAUAAAACAAGCUGCACGAAAUGGGUAAAGAGAACAGAGAACAGCAAGCGAGGGAGAGCACUUGCUAUUAUUCAUGACGGAUCAAUCAAAGGAAUUGAACAGCUAUGCAUCAACACUAGUGUCUUUAAUUGUCCACAAAUGACAGUAAAAGAAAUUUCUGAGAGGAUUCCAUCAAUUAUUGAGAAUAACCCAGAGCUAGAAAAAGUUGUUGUCCAUGUUGGAACUGCUGACAUCCUUUUGAAAAAAUCCGAAAUUUUAAAGAAAGACUUUUUGGAUUUACUUCAGAACUUUGACAACCACAAGGUACAACUCCACGUAUCUGGACUGAUUCCAGCAACACCCUACGAUGAAGAAUAUAGCAGGAUGAAAUCGUUCAGCAGGUUUGCUAAAACUGUCUGUGCUGAAAGGUCAAUUCGAUAUCUAAAUAAUUUUAAGAUUUUUUGUGGAAGGAAGCACCCGUUUACAAGAAAUGAACGUAACAUCAAUAAGAAAGGUCAGAGGCUUUAUCUUCUGAACUUGUUGUCUCAUGUGAACUCAUCGCCCUGUUCUCAAAUUGAGAUAAAGACAUCAGUAUCAGCCGAGACACAAAGCGGACGCCAACCAGUUGUAUCACACAGAGACCACGACGUACUUGUACCUUUCAGUGAUAAGCCUGCCAGAGACGUAUCAACCGACCCAAAAACAACAGCACCCGACAAGUUUCGAAAGAAACAGAGUUUCAGCAACGCUGUGCAGAAACACAUCAGUGGACAUAGCUCAAACAGCUGA